AGUGGCGGACGGGUGAGUAACGCGUGGGUAACCUGCCCUAGAGAGGGGGAUAACACCGCGAAAGUGGUGCUAAUACCGCAUGAAGCUAUUUGAUUGCAUAGUCGGAUAGCCAAAGGAGCAAUCCGCUCUGGGAUGGACCCGCGUCUGAUUAGCUAGUUGGUGAGGUAACGGCUCACCAAGGCGACGAUCAGUAGCCGGCCUGAGAGGGUGAACGGCCACACUGGGACUGAGACACGGCCCAGACUCCUACGGGAGGCAGCAGUGGGGAAUCUUCCGCAAUGGGCGAAAGCCUGACGGAGCAACGCCGCGUGAAUGAUGAAGGCCUUCGGGUUGUAAAAUUCUGUCUUCAGGGAAGAAAAAAAUGACGGUACCUGAGGAGGAAGCCCCGGCUAACUACGUGCCAGCAGCCGCGGUAAUACGUAGGGGGCAAGCGUUGUCCGGAAUUACUGGGCGUAAAGAGCGUGUAGGCGGAUAAUUAAGUCAGAUGUGAAAACUUGGGGCUCAACCGCAAGAGUGCAUCUGAUACUGGUAAUCUUGAGGGUAUGAGAGGGAAACGGUAUUCCUAGUGUAGCGGUGAAAUGCGUAGAUAUUAGGAGGAACACCAGUGGCGAAGGCGGUUUUCUGGCAUACAACUGACGCUGAGACGCGAAAGCGUGGG
This 658-nucleotide ribosomal RNA is filed under the name uncultured bacterium. RNAcentral's name for it is "bacterial SSU rRNA". It matches the Rfam family "Bacterial small subunit ribosomal RNA", at positions 94 to 765 of the family's 1533-position model. The record is from RNAcentral.